GACGGAGGGUGCUAGCGUUGUUCGGAUUUACUGGGCGUAAAGGGCGCGUAGGCGGCCAGAUCAGUCGGGUGUGAAAGCCCGGGGCUCAACCCCGGAACGGCACCCGAGACGGUUUGGCUGGAGACCGGGAGAGGAGGGUGGAAUAGCCAGUGUAGAGGUGAAAUUCGUAGAUAUUGGGAAGAACACCGGUGGCGAAGGCGACCAUCUGGACGACAACUGACGCUGAGGCGCGAAAGCGUGGGGAGCAAACAGG
This 253-nucleotide ribosomal RNA is filed under the name uncultured bacterium. RNAcentral describes it as "partial 16S ribosomal RNA". It matches the Rfam family "Bacterial small subunit ribosomal RNA", at positions 524 to 776 of the family's 1533-position model. The record is from RNAcentral.